GACCACUUGCAAAACAAACAUGGACCCGACCUGAAGAUUCAGGUGUUGUACGAAGAUCACGCAUCCAACGACUACAACAGCCUCUUCAAAACUAUUUACGGUCAAACCUCGUACAUGACCAAGUUCACCAACGUGUUCCCUCUGGUUUGUGGCACUAAUUUCUACAAGCAGUGUGUACCUGACAACACCUGUGACAUCAUCAUGUCCUCAUUCGCCACGAUGUAUUUGAGUAACGAGAGUUACGUGAGAUGCUCCAAUACAAUGUUCCCCUGGCGGUCGACA
Long non-coding RNA from Pomacea canaliculata, 282 nucleotides. RefSeq lists it as uncharacterized. The record is from RefSeq and is a predicted model, not a curated record. Lineage: Eukaryota; Metazoa; Mollusca; Gastropoda; Architaenioglossa; Ampullariidae. The transcript is spliced from 3 exons.